This 6728-nucleotide long non-coding RNA is filed under the name Brachypodium distachyon (stiff brome). RNAcentral's name for it is "long non-coding RNA (BDIS_LNC001455)". Lineage: Eukaryota; Viridiplantae; Streptophyta; Magnoliopsida; Poales; Poaceae. The record is from RNAcentral.
AAUUUCAGUAUAUUACCAAUAUGCAACUUCAUAUUACUCAUCAUACAGGCAAAGGAAGAAACAGCCUGCCCACCUGGCUUCCUGCACCAGUGUGAAACACUCCUUCGAGAGCUAGAAACCCCUCUACCUGCAAAAGAACAAAAAGAAAACAAAUAUAGGUCAUCCUUAUCUCAAAUGUUAAGUACAAAAAAAACACAACAGGGUUUCCAUGUCCAGUCAGGAAAUCUAGUCCAUUGACCAUAACCUGAGAUGCCACCCCCAUUGUGCAGCAAGGUUUCCAUGUCCAGUCUGGAAGAGAAUCUUCGACAUCAAUCUCCCUCCACUUGGUCAUCAGAGCCUUCGCCGAGGCGUUGAAGUCGUCGAUAGACAGAGUUCCAUCCCAAAGGGAGGGCGCCAUUGCAAAAUCGCUACAACAACAACCAGGAAUGGAGCUACAACGGUACAAGGACAACGGGUGUACAGACCACUAGUUUUGGCAAACGAAAUUGAUUAUGUAUGUACAGUAUACAUACAGGGUCUGUCUAUUGACCAGACGCCUGUUUUUCCUUUCUAAAACAGUCGCCUGUUAUUUUGUUUAGAAGCAGUCGCCUGGUUUUUCAUCAAAAACCAGUCACAUUUUAUUGAGCUGUAAAACAUAAGAUAUGCUAUUGUGUGGACCAGAAUUACUCUAGUUACGUAUUGUUUCUAUGCUUUGUGUUCUGGGCCUUUUGUGCUGAAAUUUUGUGUGUUGGGCCUGGGCCUAUUGUUUUCAAAUGGAGGGCUUUGUGUCUAUAGAAAUGAUCAAAAUGUGAUGAGCUUCUACACAGAAAACAGAGAUCCAUUCUAAAAAAAGAAAAGGAAAACAGAGAUCCUUGUGUCAAAAAGAAAACAGAGAUCCUAAGAUCUGCUACAGGAUCUAAAACAAAAAGUAAAAGAACCUAUUUGCAAUUGCAACCGGGGAACCUACAACUUGCAAAUAAAAUGAGCUGCAAAUCCAAUGAAGCGAAAAAUAGAGGAGAAAUCAACCGAUUCAGAUUCAGAAGAGAGAGGAGCAACUUCAAGUCUGGAAGCUAGUCUCAAUAUCAAUACGUACAGGUGUUCACAAAACACCCCAAUCCAUCUCCUCCUCUCCCCUAUAGGCAAGUAUUGCUUCCAAUACAUGACACAAACACAUAAGGAGAACUUGAUUGCAACAGAAAAGUAUUGGAUCGGGUAAUUUGUCCACAUAUUUGGUUCAGGGUUCAGUAUGCCCUUCAGUAUUUGGUUAGCCCUUUGGUUACUUCUCUACAUAUUUCUGUGACAUCAAACCCACUUCAAACCUUGAUGCAAGAAGGUGCAGCAUGAAACUAAUGUGCAUUUCAAUCAUAGUAAUUAAUUAUGUUGGAACAUUUUGCAGGUAUAAAAUAUAAUCACAACAUCGACGAAUCAUGAUCUCCUAGUACACCCUAAUCAGAGAGCUACCUUGGAGAUGAAUUCAAGAGCACAAAAACUACACAGUGUUGACUAUUGAGGGACAGGGGAUUGAUAAUAUUUACAACAUGCAGAUGCAGAAUAGUGUAUAUCCCCCAUCUAAUAAGGUACGAGUUCCCCCACCCCACAGGACAGCACACUAGGGCUGCAUGUGCAGAGGACAUUUACAUCAUGUGCACACUUUCAGAAAAUACUUACUGCCAUAGCACAGAAAUGCUGAUCAAAGAAAGAGGGAGCACUUAAUAUUUAACAACAAAAGGAAUUAUAAGUAAACUACCGUUAUUUGAACCAGAAAUUUCCAAUUAUAUGUUUAUACACCUUACAAAAGACACCUCGAACUCGAGCAUAUAAGCUGCAAAAUUACCCUCACAGAAUUAAACAUCUAGCAACAUCAGAUCCAAAACACUUCGACAGAAAUACAGAAAAUGGGUGUUUCAGUUAACAUGCGAAAAAAGAUCAUCGUCUAAUCAUUGCCAUCACCCUUCUUGGACAAAAUGAAUCUACAAAUAAUAAGACAGAUGUAUAAUUAAGAAUGGAAUUGCAGAAGCUAUCCAAGUGUGAUUGGUCUGUGUGCAAUUCCAUCAGUAAGAACAACUGCAAUUGCAGUCAAUGUGGUAUGCAAAUGCAGCCCGGGUGGUAUGCAAUUGCAGGUGCAGGCACUGGAAAAUUGCAAAAAUAUGCAGGUGCUCGAAUUACAAAAAGGAAAAAAUAAAACCAAAUCAUGCAGUGCAGAGAUAUAGUCAGCAAACUAACAAUUAGAUCAUCUAUUUCGUUAUAAUAGCCCUCUCUGAAAUAAGAAUCGAUGAUCCAAAAGCACUUCUGGGAAAUAUCGACAACAAAAGCAAACCAGUGUGCUUUCUGGGAUAUAUAUUGAGCUAAAUUAGAAGGAGAAGAGCUAAAUUGUCACUGCUCAUACAGAAAAGCAUAUGGCAAAGCCAGAAAACAGAAAUCACAUGGAUUCGAGCAUAUACAAAAGCCAUAAUGUGUUGUGAAAAAACAGCCACAUGUUAUUUCAAGAAAAAUCAGUCACUUUUUUCUGAGCCAUGCAACACAUAUCUAAUGGGACCAAAACAAAACAAAUUAAAUAGGCAAACGCUCUCACAACACAUUGAAAAUGUAGUUCAAAAUACCUAUUGUAACUUUACACAUUACAGGUUGUACGAUCCUAGAAGUAGAGCAAUGCAAAUUACCAAAAAGAAGACUAUAUGUAGUUGCAAUUGCAGCCGGCAACAAAUCUAGAUUUGUCCUAAAAAAAAUGCAAUUGUAUUUUAAAAAUUCUACAGUUGCAACGCAAUAACUGGGUUGCAACUUGAAUUAAAAGCCACUGCAAGUACAAAAUUUGAUUUAAAAGACAUGCAAUCAGAAAAUUUGAAUUAAAAGCCUAGGGGGUUUUUGAUUUGGGAAAAGAACAAACCUCGAUAUUGCUCACGGCAGCUUGAGGAAGAGAAGGACGAAGCAAAAUUCGGUAAAACAUAAACUCAAGCAGAAAUCAACCGUCUCAGAUCCGUAGAGAGAACAACAACUUGAAGCCAGAAUUAUGGAAGCUAACCUCAAUCCCCCGUAGUCAAGGUGUGCCCACUGACCGCACCCUCUUCCCUCCCCUCCCCUUAUUCUUGACACUGGAUUUCCUGGGAAUCACACCCCUUAUCGGCCAAAGAACAAAGGAAAUUAAUGUAGCCACAAUAUAGAGCGAGCGAGAUGAAAAGGGGGUGCAUUUUGAUUUAAAAGGCAGUGCAAAUUUCAAAUAGAUUGCAUAACUGAAUGUACAAGACCUAGUACAAUUGCAAUUUCAAAAGGCUGGAAUUGCAACGGCAGAAAGGGGUGCAAUUUGAUUUAAAAGGCACUGGAACUUUCAAACAGAUAAUACGUUCUUAUUUGAAAUUAAUCUCAGGUCUUGCUUCUACAUUGCUUGUGUUGCUGCUACCACUAAAGACAGACAAAAAAGAAAGUAAAAAGAGUAUAUAUAUACUUGUGGAAGUAAUUUGAACAUAGAAGAAAGGAACAUAAAUGAAAAUUGCGAUUGCAAGUUGGUACACUUGGAAUUGCAAAAGUUAAAGUAGUGCAAUUAAAUUUAAAGGGCAGUGCAAUUUGCCAUGAUGAAAAUAAACUUAAAAAAAUGCAAUUAGUUGCAGGUUGGUAUACCUAGAAUUGCAAAAGUUAAACUAGUGUAAUUAAAUUUAAAGUAGAGUGCAAUUUGCCACGAUGAACACAAAACCCAUGAACACAAAAAUUGUAAUAAACACCUUAAAACAGCGAGCACAUAUAAAACAACUUGAUUUUUCAAAGCAUUUAUGAAAACACAACUUGUAGGCCAAAAAAAAUACAUCGGAUACAAACGAACCCAUCAUAUUUGCACCCAUAUAUGUAAGCCAAAGAAUGACACCCUGCUAACCAAAACACACCGAUGGACACUUUGUACUAAGGCCAAAAGCUAGACCCAUAAAUCAUCAGUCAAACUCAACAGAAAAUUAGACAUAAAAAAUAGCUGCAAAUUGGCCAUUACACUUGAAGGAACGUAUCGACAUCAUAUCAAUCAUAUUGACAUUUCUAGUAAAGUAUGGAUGAAAAGCACAAAUGAGUCUGACCAUGAAAAGUAGGGUAAAAAUGGGUAGAUACCCUACUACGGCUAGCGGGCCUUAAAAAAUGCUCCAUCAAAAUUGCGAGAACACAAGCAACACCAAAUCACAGCAGUUCAAACAAAAAUCAUCGCCACAGGAAUAAGCCCCCAUAAGCCCAGACUACAGAUUCCUGAUGUUCUUGUUCAUGCUAGCAAUACAAGCAAAAAACUGUGAGUAAGAUCAGGCUACAAAUGGAUACAUGCUGUUCCCAUUCAUGCUACACACUCGCCAAAUCAAACGAAAAUCCCUGCUUCCACACAAACGAACAAGUACAAUGAAAAAAUGAACAAAAAGUUUGUGAGUGAUUUAUUUCCCUGUGAUUAUUUGCAUCCAAUAUAUGUUCGGGCACUACCUCAACCCCCAUCUAGCUCAUUCCAACAAAGGCCUACGAACAACCAAAUCCCACUGAAAUUAGCGGCAAAGCGCGAUCGAAUCGAACCGGAGAUGAGUUGUCGCUGGUGAGGAAGUUCCCCGCGAGAGCUUGUCGAUUGGAGAAGAGGCGCGCCCCGGCAGCCGCGGACUCGAGCCGGAGACGAUCCCCGGCGCCUCCCCUGUCUCCUCGUGUACGGCGCGUCCCAAUCGUCUGCGCCGUCGCACCCAGCACGUCCGCAGCGUCGCGCCGUCUGCCAGCAGAAUCGCCCCGCCACCCUCCACCUCCCAAACCGCGGGCAACGAGCAGAAGCCCCCGCGCUGUCCUCUCCGUCUCGAGCGCGCCGCCUGGCAGAGUGGGGAGAGAAGACCAGAAGAAGGGUCGAGGUCCAGCGAGAGAGCAGCCAGAGGAAAAAUAAUUGACACGAAUCUUGAUGAGUAGAUCAAUGGUCCACAAAUCGCCUGCUUUUAAACAAAAAACCAGGCGCAUGUGCACUAGGAAAAUCGAUACAUAUAUGUUACUGUAAAAAUUGUUCAAUAAUACCAAAAAAGAACAGAACAGAACAGAGAAUAACUCUAUCUUCCCUCCCCAUGCCAAACCUAGGAAUUGCAAAGAGAAGAGUAGUGGAGUGAAGGGAGGAGAGAGCCUCACCUGCGGCGCCUGUCGACGCUAGCGGUCCUCGCCGGCACGAUUUGGUGCGGCGCCGCUGAGAGGUGACGAUAGAUCGAUCGAAAAGAACAGUGGCUGCUGACUACGGCUUCGUGAGGUCUCACGGUGCUCCAGGGCGCGGAAGCGAGGCCGGGAAGGCUUGGGAGCGGCCGCGCGGCAUGCUGCCGGCCGGAGGUGGAGAAGAAAGGCGACGUGUGGUGGCUAGGGCGCGCGAGGGGUCCUGGUGCUCGAGCUGGUGGUGCGGGACGGAUCAGCGGCGCGCGAGGGGCUCAGCGCGGAGACGGGGGAGCGGCAGACGCUAGCUCGCCGGAAUUGGCUGAGGAGGCUGUUUCGAUGGGGAAAAGAAACAGGGUUCCUGGAAACAGUUGGGCUGCCCACGCGAGGCCCUUCCUGAAAACAGUUGGGCUGCCCACGCGUAGGUGCCACAGUUAGGAAGGCACACGGGCUUUGUUUCGUAUCGCUCUCGCAGUCGUGGCCCACGCGUAGGUGCUGGAGUUAGGAAGGCCCACGGGCUUUGUUUCGUAUCGCUCUCGCAGUCGUGGCUGAAACGGACUGACUUUCGGCCGACGAGGCCCGUUGGUCCGAUCGGCGUCUGCGAAAAAUACGACGCCAAGAUGCUAGUGCGACUGUUCUAAAAAAAACUGCUAGUGCAACUGCGGAAAAAGAAAGUGCUAGUGCUAGUGGAUGUCUUGCUAAUUUGCUUAGCUUCCGAACUGACCCGAAAAUGCAAGAAUCCGAUGCUUGUCUUUUCGGAAAUUAGCUUCUCUUUGCUAAUUUGCUGGAGUUGUUUGUGUCUGGCCUCCGCAAGCCACUCCAGAGAGACAUGUGGUUGAUAUUCCCGGCCACCCUGGAGGACGCCAUGGAUCUUGCUCGCACCUCCGAGGAGCGGGAAACCUGCGCCUACUUGAACAUGCAAUAGGGCAACCUACACCAGCGGAGGAGCAAACUCCAGCAACAGCGAUAGGCUGCCCUCUAAAAGCAGCGCAUGCAACCAACCAUAAUGGCAGUGAAACGCAACAAUGAGUCAUCUUCAGCUGGGGCAGUGGCCGGAUAACCAGCAGCAGCAGUGGAAUCCUUCGGCCAAAAGAGUAGACCACAACGCUACAAUGCAGGCCAACGUAAUGAAACGACAGGGGUUCGAAGCAUGGUAAUGUACCCUUAUGCAGGUAACAUAGACAAAAAAAUACUAAUGGAAACUGAAAACUUACCCAAGUAUCAUGCUCUACAGUUCUUUCAUCGCUGAGGUUGUUGUUGUCCUCAGUCUGUUCCAGAAGAGGAAUUUCAGUAUAUUACCGAUAUGCAACUUCAUAUUACUCAUCAUACAGGCAAAGGAAGAAACAGCCUGCCCACCUGGCUUCCUGCACCAGUGUGAAACACUCCUUCGAGAGCUAGAAACCCCUCUACCUGCAAAAGAACAAAAAGAAAACAAAUAUAGGUCAUCCUUAUCUCAAAUGUUAAGUACAAAAAAAACACAACAGGGUUUCCAUGUCCAGUCAGGAAACCUAGUCCAUUGACCAUAACCUGAGAUGCCACCCCCAUUGUGCAGCAAGGUUUCCAUGUCCAGUCUGGAAGAGAAUCUUCGACAUCAAUCUCCCUCCACUUGGUCAUCAGAGCCUUCGCCG